UUUAUGGUCCCGGGUGACGCGACGGCUGUGAACCCCGCCAGGCCCGGAAGGGAGCAACGGUAGCGGACAUAGCGGGUGCCUGGGGCCACCUUUUUUCA
This 98-nucleotide signal recognition particle RNA is filed under the name Myxococcota bacterium. RNAcentral describes it as "signal recognition particle sRNA small type". It matches the Rfam family "Bacterial small signal recognition particle RNA". From Rfam's summary of the family: The signal recognition particle (SRP) is a universally conserved ribonucleoprotein involved in the co-translational targeting of proteins to membranes. Archaeal SRP consists of a 7S RNA and homologues of the eukaryotic SRP19 and SRP54 proteins. In most bacteria, the SRP consists of a 4.5S RNA and the Ffh protein (a homologue of the eukaryotic SRP54 protein). Lineage: Bacteria; Pseudomonadati; Myxococcota. The record is from RNAcentral.